Molecule: long non-coding RNA, 210 nt
Filed under: Mytilus galloprovincialis (Mediterranean mussel)
Lineage: Eukaryota; Metazoa; Mollusca; Bivalvia; Mytilida; Mytilidae
Source: RNAcentral
UUGAUCAGUAUGUAUAUACAUGGUAACAUAUGUGUUGUACCUUCUAUAUUAUUUUUCAUUCACAGAAUGAAUCAUAACAAACAGCUAUAUGGAUGAACCUUUAUAAAUAGUUUUACAUACUUAUAAUAUUCAGUGUAAACAAAUGAAGCUUCUUUACAUACACUGAUAGUCACAAUUACAGGCAAGAUACAUAAUUUCCAUACUACAUAA